CUCUACUCUCUGUAUCUCCACUGUCUCUCUCUUUAUCUUAGACUUUCUGUUGCAUCUCUAUCUGUUGUCCAUGUCUGCUGUGACUCUGAUCCUUCCCGUUCAUCUCGUACAUCGAGCUCUUCUGCUGUUUUCGCCAGUAACACCACGCCCCGAUGGUGGCUGCCACGGCAACCGCGCACAUAGCAACCACAAUGGCUGCAACCGUGGAACCCCUGCCGGAGGAGGGAGGAGGGGGAGGAGGGCAGUCCUCCUCACCCCCAGUACACCCUGUCUCCCCCGUCUCACCUUCGCUCUCCUCCUCCUCACCCUCCAUCUCCCCGCUGUGUCGAGUCAGGUUGUGCUGGGCCGAACGUUCCUCCUCGUCGAUGACGUCAUCAGUCCACGCUGUGGGUGCGGGGCCGUGCUCCAGGAAAGGGUGCACGUGAUCCGUGGUUUCCCAGGAGCCUGUGGGAGAAGGCCUGGCUGUGUUGCCGGAGGCAUCGUCAUCCAGUGAUGAUGUCAGAGAGGGGGUGGCGUAGUCGGCUGAAUGUGAAUCUGAGGCUUCGGGGGAGAGAGGUAGGUCGGGUGAGGCUGUGGCCUCGGGGGAGAGAGGUAGGUCGGGUGAGGCUGUGGCAGGUAGGUCGGGUGAGGCUGUGGCCUCGGGGGAGAGAGGUAGGUCGGGUGAGGCUGUGGCCUCGGGGGAGAGAGGUAGGUCGGGUGAGGCUGUGGCCUCGGGGGAGAGAGGUAGGUCGGGUGAGGCUGUGGCCUCGGGGGAGAGAGGUAGGUCGGGUGAGGCUGUGGCCUCGGGGGAGAGAG
Molecule: long non-coding RNA, 795 nt
Filed under: Salmo salar (Atlantic salmon)
Lineage: Eukaryota; Metazoa; Chordata; Actinopteri; Salmoniformes; Salmonidae
Description: lncRNA (ENSSSAG00000088013.1, ENSSSAG00000103619.1)
Source: RNAcentral